RNAcentral lists this ribosomal RNA (501 nucleotides) under uncultured bacterium. RNAcentral describes it as "partial 16S ribosomal RNA". It matches the Rfam family "Bacterial small subunit ribosomal RNA", at positions 30 to 523 of the family's 1533-position model. The record is from RNAcentral.
AUUGAACGCUGGCGGCAGGCUUAACACAUGCAAGUCGAGCGGGGGAAGGUAGCUUGCUACCGGACCUAGCGGCGGACGGGUGAGUAAUGCUUAGGAAUCUGCCUAUUAGUGGGGGACAACAUCUCGAAAGGGAUGCUAAUACCGCAUACGUCCUACGGGAGAAAGCAGGGGAUCUUCGGACCUUGCGCUAAUAGAUGAGCCUAAGUCGGAUUAGCUAGUUGGUGGGGUAAAGGCCUACCAAGGCGACGAUCUGUAGCGGGUCUGAUAGGAUGAUCCGCCACACUGGGACUGAGACACGGCCCAGACUCCUACGGGAGGCAGCAGUGGGGAAUAUUGGACAAUGGGGGGAACCCUGAUCCAGCCAUGCCGCGUGUGUGAAGAAGGCCUUAUGGUUGUAAAGCACUUUAAGCGAGGAGGAGGCUACUCUAGUUAAUACCUAGGGAUAGUGGACGUUACUCACAGAAUAAGCACCGGCUAACUCUGUGCCAGCCGCCGCCGUAA